UACAGAGGAUGCAAGCGUUAUCCGGAAUGAUUGGGCGUAAAGCGUCUGUAGGUGGCUUUUUAAGUCCGCCGUCAAAUCCCAGGGCUCAACUCUGGACAGGCGGUGGAAACUACCAAGCUGGAGUACGGUAGGGGCAGAGGGAAUUUCCGGUGGAGCGGUGAAAUGCGUAGAGAUCGGAAAGAACACCAACGGCGAAGGCAGCACUCUGGGACGUGACUGACGCUGAGACGCGAAAGCGUGGGGAGCAAACAGG
Molecule: ribosomal RNA, 253 nt
Filed under: uncultured bacterium
Lineage: Bacteria
Description: partial 16S ribosomal RNA
Rfam family: Bacterial small subunit ribosomal RNA
Source: RNAcentral